GAUGAACGCUGGCGGCGUGCCUAAUACAUGCAAGUCGAGCGAACAGACGAGGAUUUUGCUCCUCUGACGUUAGCGGCGGGCGGGUGAGUAACACGUGGAUCCCCUACCUAUAAGUCUGAGAUAACUUCGGAAAACCGGCGAUUAUACCGGAUAAUAUAUUGAACCGCAUGGUUCAAUGGUGAAAUACGGUUUUGCUGUCUCUUCUCGCUGGAUCCGCGCCGCAUUAGCUAGUUGGUAAGGUAACGGCCUACCACGGCGACGAUGCGUAGACGACCUGAGAGGCGGGUCGGCGACACGGGAAGGUAGACACGGACAAGAGGACUACGGGAGGCAGCAGUAUGGUAUCGUCCGCAACGGGCGAAAACCUUACGGAGCAACGCCGAGUGAGUUAUGAAGGUGUUCGGAUCGUAAAACUCUGUUAUGAGGGAAGAACAAAUGUGGAAGUAACUAUGCACUGCUUGACGGUAACUAAUCAGAAAGCCACGGCUAACUACGUG
This 497-nucleotide ribosomal RNA is filed under the name uncultured bacterium. RNAcentral describes it as "partial 16S ribosomal RNA". It matches the Rfam family "Bacterial small subunit ribosomal RNA", at positions 28 to 507 of the family's 1533-position model. The record is from RNAcentral.